This 253-nucleotide ribosomal RNA is filed under the name uncultured Eubacteriales bacterium. RNAcentral's name for it is "uncultured Clostridiales bacterium partial 16S ribosomal RNA". It matches the Rfam family "Bacterial small subunit ribosomal RNA", at positions 524 to 776 of the family's 1533-position model. The record is from RNAcentral. Lineage: Bacteria; Bacillati; Bacillota; Clostridia; Eubacteriales.
UACGUAGGGGGCAAGCGUUAUCCGGAUUUACUGGGUGUAAAGGGAGCGUAGACGGCGGGGCAAGUCUGGAGUGAAAGGCCGGGGCCCAACCCCGGGACUGCUCUGGAAACUAUUGAACUUGAGUGCAGGAGAGGUAAGCGGAAUUCCUAGUGUAGCGGUGAAAUGCGUAGAUAUUAGGAGGAACAUCAGUGGCGAAGGCGACUUUCUGGACUGUAACUGACGCUGAGGCACGAAAGUGUGGGGAGCAAACAGG